RNAcentral lists this ribosomal RNA (484 nucleotides) under uncultured bacterium. RNAcentral's name for it is "partial 16S ribosomal RNA". It matches the Rfam family "Bacterial small subunit ribosomal RNA", at positions 30 to 507 of the family's 1533-position model. The record is from RNAcentral.
AUUGAACGCUGGCGGCAGGCCUAACACAUGCAAGUCGAGCGGAUGAAGGGAGCUUGCUCCUGGAUUCAGCGGCGGACGGGUGAGUAAUGCCUAGGAAUCUGCCUGGUAGGGGGGGAUAACGUCCGGAAACGGGCGCUAAUACCGCAUACGUCCUGAGGGAGAAAGGGGGGGCUCUUCGGACCUCACGCUAUCAGAUGAGCCUAGGUCGGAUUAGCUAGUUGGUGGGGUAAAGGCCUACCAAGGCGACGAUCCGUAACUGGUCUGAGAGGAUGAUCAGUCACACUGGAACUGAGACACGGUCCAGACUCCUACGGGGGGCAGCAGUGGGGAAUAUUGGACAAUGGGCGAAAGCCUGAUCCAGCCAUGCCGCGUGUGUGAAGAAGGUCUUCGGAUUGUAAAGCACUUUAAGUUGGGAGGAAGGGCAGUAAGUUAAUACCUUGCUGUUUUGACGUUACCAACAGAAUAAGCACCGGCUAACUUCGUG